CAAUAGCGUAUAUUAAAGCUGUUGCAGUUAAAAGCUCGUAGUUGGAUCUCGGGUUUGGGCUUGCGGUCCACCACGUGUGGCUACUGCUCGUCUCGACCUACCUCCCGGUUUUCCCUUGGUGCUCUUAAGUGAGUGUCUCGGGUGGCCGGAACGUUUACUUUGAAAAAUUAGAGUGUUCAAAGCAGGCGUUUGCUUGAAUAUAUUAGCAUGGAAUAAUGGAAUAGGACGCUGGUUCUAUUUUGUUGGUUUUGAGAACCAGAGUAAUGAUUAAUAGGGACAGUUGGGGGCAUUCAUAUUUCAUUGUCAGAGGUGAAAUUCUUGGAUUUAUGAAAGAUGAACUUCUGCGAAAGCAUUUGCCAAGGAUGUUUUCAUUAAUCAAGAACGAAAGUUAGGGGAUCGAAGACGAUUAGAUACCAU
Molecule: ribosomal RNA, 417 nt
Filed under: uncultured eukaryote
Lineage: Eukaryota
Description: bacterial SSU rRNA
Rfam family: Eukaryotic small subunit ribosomal RNA
Source: RNAcentral